GCCAGGCCUGGUACUGCAUGCUUGUAAUCCCUGCUGAUAGGGAGGUUAAGGCUGGUGGAUCACUGGAGCUCAGGUGCACUGGGUUUCAGUGGGUUAAGUUGAUUGGUGUCCAUAUGAAGUCAAACAAUAAUAUAGUCAUCCCUAAAGAGCAGGGGCCUACCAGGCUGCCUAAAGAGGGUUGAAUCAACUCAAGUUGGAAAAACAGAGCAGGUCAAUACUUCUGUGCUGGUCAGUAAUGAGACUGAGCCCAUGAAUGGCCACUGUACUUGUAGCCUGGAUAAAAUAGAGAAAG
RNAcentral lists this signal recognition particle RNA (292 nucleotides) under Phascolarctos cinereus (koala). RNAcentral describes it as "Metazoan signal recognition particle RNA (ENSPCIG00000013515.2)". It matches the Rfam family "Metazoan signal recognition particle RNA". From Rfam's summary of the family: The signal recognition particle (SRP) is a universally conserved ribonucleoprotein. It is involved in the co-translational targeting of proteins to membranes. The record is from RNAcentral. Lineage: Eukaryota; Metazoa; Chordata; Mammalia; Diprotodontia; Phascolarctidae.